GACGAACGCCGGCGGCGUGCUUAACACAUGCAAGUCGAACGGUGAAGCGCCUUCCUUUUUGGUGGGUGUGGAUGAGUGGCGAACGGGUGAGUAACACGUGAGUAACCUGCCCCCUUCUUCUGGAUAACCGCAUGAAAGUAUGGCUAAUACGGGAUAUUCUGGGUCUGUCGCAUGAUGGGUCUGGGAAAGAUAUUGUUUCGGUGGGGGAUGGGCUCGCGGCCUAUCAGCUUGUUGGUGGGGUGAUGGCCUACCAAGGCGGUGACGGGUAGCCGGCCUGAGAGGGUGGACGGUCACACUGGGACUGAGACACGGCCCAGACUCCUACGGGAGGCAGCAGUGGGGAAUAUUGCACAAUGGGCGCAAGCCUGAUGCAGCGACGCCGCGUGAGGGAUGGAGGCCUUCGGGUUGUGAACCUCUUUCGCCAGUGAAGCAGGCCUGCCUCGUUUGUGGGUGGGUUGACGGUAGCUGGAUAAGAAGCGCCGGCUAACUACGUG
RNAcentral lists this ribosomal RNA (494 nucleotides) under uncultured bacterium. RNAcentral describes it as "partial 16S ribosomal RNA". It matches the Rfam family "Bacterial small subunit ribosomal RNA", at positions 28 to 507 of the family's 1533-position model. The record is from RNAcentral.